GACGAACCGUGCAAACGUUAUUCGGAAUCACUGGGCUUAAAGGGUGCGUAGGCUGGUUUCCAAGUCAGGGGUGAAAUCGUUCGGCCCAACCGGACAAGGGCCCCUGAUACUGGAGAUCUCGAGGGAGGUAGGGGUCGAUGGAACUAAUGGUGGAGCGGUGAAAUGCGUAGAUAUCAUUAGGAACGCCGGUGGCGAAAGCGAUCGACUGGACCUCUUCUGACGCUGAGGCACGAAAGCCAGGGGAGCAAACGGG
Molecule: ribosomal RNA, 253 nt
Filed under: uncultured bacterium
Lineage: Bacteria
Description: partial 16S ribosomal RNA
Rfam family: Bacterial small subunit ribosomal RNA
Source: RNAcentral